This 557-nucleotide long non-coding RNA is filed under the name Vombatus ursinus (common wombat). Its description in RNAcentral is "lncRNA (ENSVURG00010018353.1)". Lineage: Eukaryota; Metazoa; Chordata; Mammalia; Diprotodontia; Vombatidae. The record is from RNAcentral.
GGGGACCCUGGAGCAGAGAGUGUCGGCGCUAUGACCUGUCACAGCAUGUGGGCUACAGACAGGCUGGCCCCAGGCAGAGGAGCAGAGACAGAAUGUGCAUGAGACUGAACUUGGCAGGAUCUUUCUAGAAGCUGUGCUGAGAGCGGGGAGGACAGGAAGAGGCAUCUGGGGAGAAUCUGGAGCCCUGACUCCUCCAGGUGAGACGCUGCUGAGGGAAAUGAAGUUGAUCCUCGGGCUCCUGCUGACCAUGGCAUGGCCCAUGCUCCAUGCAGACACCACUCUGACUGGCAAACAAAUAUUUCUGAUGUGUCAUGUGUGUGAGCAGAUCAAUAGUUUUGCCUGCAGGAAUCCAGAGAGGUGCAAUGCAGGAGAUGCGUUCUGCAUCACCGUGGGUACCAGGCUGAGCAAUCGCUACUUGCUUAUUUCCAAGCAGUGCCGUUAGGAAGACUCUUUGCCUCUUGUGACAUUGGACUGUAUUUUCCAGAAGCCCAUGCAGUUGAUUGGCCCCUGGAGACUUCCUCUGCCUGGAGAAAUCUGUCUCUGAGAAGACUCUAUGG